UGCAAUGGCGGCUGUGUGCUGGACGCCUCCGGGCGAACCGAUUUGAUGGUGUCGGUUGACCAAGCCUGUACACAGCCGCCUCCCAU
This 86-nucleotide non-coding RNA is filed under the name Pseudomonas sp. SJZ131. Lineage: Bacteria; Pseudomonadati; Pseudomonadota; Gammaproteobacteria; Pseudomonadales; Pseudomonadaceae. The record is from RNAcentral.